UAUUGAAGCCUGACAUGAGCGACUAAUAAAUAAUCAUGGAGUUCCGCCUUCUACAGGCAGGACAACACCGUUGAAAUGCUGUGAUCAACUAUUGUUGUACCAGCAGCCCCUUUUAAUGGGGCCCACAGAUCAAGCCGCGGUGAUCCACCUAACAUUAAUUAGGUAGGACUAUAAUAUGACCGGUCUCGCCUGAGAAUGGGCUGAGAGAAUACGUUCCGUAGGUGAACCUGCGGAAGGAUCAUUAUCGAGUUAGGGUCUUCUAGGCCCGACCUCCAACCCUUUGUUUACUAUACCAUGUUGCUUUGGUGGGCCCGCCUUUUGGGGCCGCCGGGGGCUUUCAUACCUCUGGUCAGUGCCCGCCAGUAGCCUUCUUAAAUUCUUUUAUAACUGUGUCGUCUGAGUACAAAUAUAAAUCGUUAAAACUUUCAACAACGGAUCUCUUGGUUCUGGCAUCGAUGAAGAACGCAGCGAAAUGCGAUAAGUAAUGCGAAUUGCAGAAUUCAGUGAGUCAUCGAAUCUUUGAACGCAUAUUGCGCCCUUUGGUAUUCCGAAGGGCAUGCCUGUUCGAGCGUCAUUAUCAACCAUCAAGCCUAGCUUGUCGUUGGACCUCUUUGUGGUUGAAAUAUACUACAGGUCCGAAAAAUAAUGACGGUGUCGUGUUUGACCCUAAAUGCAACGAGCUUUUUAUAGCAAGCAUUGAAGUGGUCGACCGAUCCAGUCUUAACCAUCAUUUUCUAAGGUUGACCUCGGAUCAGGUAGGAAUACCCGCUGAACCUAA
This 778-nucleotide ribosomal RNA is filed under the name uncultured Chaetothyriales. Its description in RNAcentral is "eukaryotic LSU rRNA". The stretch from base 421 to 574 matches the Rfam family "5.8S ribosomal RNA". The record is from RNAcentral. Lineage: Eukaryota; Fungi; Ascomycota; Eurotiomycetes; Chaetothyriales.